GACUAGAAAAAAAAAAUGCCGGGAGAGGGAGGAACGCCAAACGCGCAGAGCGCCCUACCUGUCCGGCGACAAAUAGCAGCCACCAGGUGCUGCCGAAGAUGCGGACCGCGAGCGCCGAGUGCCAGGGCGCAGCCGGGCGUGCCAUGGUCCCCCCGCGGGGAAGAGGGGGCAGUCCCAGGCGAGACCCCUUCUCGGAACCUGUAGCCGCUUCCCUCGCGGGCUGCGGAGGCCGGACUCCCGGGCCUAUUCAAGUCUGCACUACGUCAGAGUAAGUGUUGAAAAGGCUGUCCGUGUGAAUACUGUACUGCUAAGGUAUGGCUGACAUCACUUGCAGAGGUCCUGGGGUCAGCCCUGAUGGAAUGCAGAAUCUGAUACGGAAUCUAACAAAGAUGGAUAAACCCUACAGCUGUGAUGUCAUCUGGAUUUUUGUGUAGGGUGUGCAGCUAGAUCAUUUCCAUGAUCAAAAUACCUCAUUACGUGUACCCACCAGACAUCAGAAGGACUGGAUCAGCCACGUGGUCUAUUUCUUCAGGUUUUCACAAGACAGCCUUGUGGACGGAGGAAGGAAGAUGGAUACAAGACAGGAAAAUAUGAGGAAAUGGAAAUCUCCUAAGCAGUUCAUAAAGUUGACACCCAGGUUCUGAAUAAGAGUAUGUGAUAUCUUCUGAACACACACACACACACAGAAUAAAGCAGACACGUUCUUGGUCCUACAAAUGAUUUCCGUGAGAACAUUGUUUCAGUUAUUGGCCACACAAUCUCAAUGCCAACCCUGACAAGGUCUAAUUAGCAUUCUGUCAAUCAUAAUUCUCUACUGAGAGUUUUGUAGAUGAUGGAGUACCAGUGAGCAGACAGAUGACCACCGAUGUCUCAUUAGCACAACCCCAGAACCUAAUUAC
Molecule: long non-coding RNA, 899 nt
Organism: Myotis lucifugus (little brown bat)
Lineage: Eukaryota; Metazoa; Chordata; Mammalia; Chiroptera; Vespertilionidae
Exons: 4
Source: RefSeq, a predicted model, not a curated record